UAUUUCCCGAUUUUGGAGGAGUUAACAAUUGGUGUGUUGUUUAUUGUUUUAUAAAUUAUCAGUGACAUUUUGUUGGCGGUGAAAUGCUAUUCGACUUCAUAGGUUUCUGGUUUUUCAAGAAACGAAUUUAAUUCGUGUUUUUGUUUAAUUUUUCUUUUGGUUUGUGUAAUUUUACUUUGUUCUAAUAUUAAGGGGGAUUAGCUCCUUUUUAUAUUUUAAUAUCUUUUUCUUGGUUUAGUCUUGUGGUUUUUAUGGUGAUUUUCAAUUUGAUUAUGUUAAAAUUUUGUUAUUCUUUGUUUUUAUUUUGUUGUGAUUUAUUUUUAUAUUGAAACGUUGUUUUUUUCUUAUGAUGACUUGUGAUUAUUGUGGAAUUAGUAUAUUUUCGUGUUUGUUUUGUUUUUUGUUUGUUAAUUUCUUUUGAGGAAUUCGGCAAAUAAUUUGUGCCCGCCUGUUUAACAAAAACAUCUCUUCUUGUUAGUUUUUGAAGUAAGGCCUGCCCACUGACUGAGUUAAAGGGCCGCGGUAUAUUGACCGUGCAAAGGUAGCAUAAUCAUUAGUUCUUUAAUUGUGAUCUGGUAGGAAUGGUUUGACGAGGUACAAUCUGUCUUAAUGUUUUGUAUUUUAAUUGAAUUUAAGGUUUUGGUUAGAAUUCUUAAAUGUUUUUGUGGGACGAGAAGACCCUAUAGAGUUUUACACUUACAUUUAUUAGUGGGUUUGGUUGUUGUCAUAUUUAAUGGUGCGUGUUUUGUUGGGGCGAUGGGAAGAUUUUUUGGAACUCUUCCUUAUUUGUUAUUCACUUAUUUGUGUUUUAGCUUGAU
RNAcentral lists this ribosomal RNA (818 nucleotides) under Serritermes serrifer. Its description in RNAcentral is "partial 16S ribosomal RNA". The stretch from base 418 to 610 matches the Rfam family "Archaeal large subunit ribosomal RNA", at positions 1802 to 2101 of the family's 2987-position model. Lineage: Eukaryota; Metazoa; Arthropoda; Insecta; Blattodea; Serritermitidae. The record is from RNAcentral.